This 506-nucleotide ribosomal RNA is filed under the name uncultured bacterium. RNAcentral describes it as "partial 16S ribosomal RNA". It matches the Rfam family "Bacterial small subunit ribosomal RNA", at positions 29 to 523 of the family's 1533-position model. The record is from RNAcentral.
AGUGAACGCUGGCGGUAGGCCUAACACAUGCAAGUCGAACGGCAGCACAGAGGAGCUUGCUCCUUGGGUGGCGAGUGGCGGACGGGUGAGGAAUACAUCGGAAUCUACUCUGUCGUGGGGGAUAACGUAGGGAAACUUACGCUAAUACCGCAUACGACCUACGGGUGAAAGCAGGGGAUCUUCGGACCUUGCGCGAUUGAAUGAGCCGAUGUCGGAUUAGCUAGUUGGCGGGGUAAAGGCCCACCAAGGCGACGAUCCGUAGCUGGUCUGAGAGGAUGAUCAGCCACACUGGAACUGAGACACGGUCCAGACUCCUACGGGAGGCAGCAGUGGGGAAUAUUGGACAGUGGGCGCAAGCCUGAUCCAGCCAUACCGCGUGGGUGAAGAAGGCCUUCGGGUUGUAAAGCCCUUUUGUUGGGAAAGAAAUCCAUCUGGUUAAUACCCGGAUAGGAUGACGGUACCCAAAGAAUAAGCACCGGCUAACUUCGUGCCAGCCGCCGCAGUAA